This 200-nucleotide ribosomal RNA is filed under the name uncultured bacterium. RNAcentral describes it as "partial 16S ribosomal RNA". It matches the Rfam family "Bacterial small subunit ribosomal RNA", at positions 28 to 227 of the family's 1533-position model. The record is from RNAcentral.
GAUGAACGCUAGCGGCAGGCCUAAUACAUGCGAGUCGAACGAUACCAAGGAGCUUGCUUUUUGGGAAAGUGGCGCACGGGUGCGUAACGCGUAUGCAACCUACCUUAAUCAGGGGGAUAGCCCGAAGAAAUUCGGAUUAACACCGCAUAAAAACACAGUACAGCAUUGUACAAUGUUCAAAUAUUUAUAGGAUUAAGAUG